Molecule: ribosomal RNA, 735 nt
Filed under: uncultured bacterium
Lineage: Bacteria
Description: bacterial SSU rRNA
Rfam family: Bacterial small subunit ribosomal RNA
Source: RNAcentral
AGCGAACGCUGGCGGCAGGCUUAACACAUGCAAGUCGAACGGGCGUAGCAAUACGUCAGUGGCAGACGGGUGAGUAACGCGUGGGAACGUACCUUUUGGUUCGGAACAACACAGGGAAACUUGUGCUAAUACCGGAUAAGCCCUUACGGGGAAAGAUUUAUCGCCGAAAGGUCGGCCCGCGUCUGAUUAGCUAGUUGGUGAGGUAAUGGCUCACCAAGGCGACGAUCAGUAGCUGGUCUGAGAGGAUGAUCAGCCACAUUGGGACUGAGACACGGCCCAAACUCCUACGGGAGGCAGCAGUGGGGAAUAUUGGACAAUGGGGGCAACCCUGAUCCAGCCAUGCCGCGUGAGUGAUGAAGGCCCUAGGGUUGUAAAGCUCUUUUGUGCGGGAAGAUAAUGACGGUACCGCAAGAAUAAGCCCCGGCUAACUUCGUGCCAGCAGCCGCGGUAAUACGAAGGGGGCUAGCGUUGCUCGGAAUCACUGGGCGUAAAGGGUGCGUAGGCGGGUUUCUAAGUCGGAGGUGAAAGCCUGGAGCUCAACUCCAGAACUGCCUUUGAUACUGGAAGUCUUGAGUUCGGGAGAGGUGAGUGGAACUGCGGGUGUAGAGGUGAAAUUCGUAGAUAUUCGCAAGAACACCAGUGGCGAAGGCGGCUCACUGGCCCGAUACUGACGCUGAGGCACGAAAGCGUGGGGAGCAAACAGGAUUAGAUACCCUGGUAGUCCACGCCGUAAAC